UACGAAGGGGGCUAGCGUUGUUCGGAAUUACUGGGCGUAAAGCGCGCGUAGGCGGUGAUCUUUGUCAGAGGUGAAAGCCUGGGGCUCAACCCCAGAAUUGCCUUUGAAACGGGAUCGCUAGAGUCCGAGAGAGGAUGGCGGAAUUCCUAGUGUAGAGGUGAAAUUCGUAGAUAUUAGGAAGAACACCGGUGGCGAAGGCGGCCAUCUGGCUCGGUACUGACGCUCAGGCGCGAAAGCGUGGGGAGCAAACGGGG
RNAcentral lists this ribosomal RNA (254 nucleotides) under uncultured bacterium. RNAcentral describes it as "partial 16S ribosomal RNA". It matches the Rfam family "Bacterial small subunit ribosomal RNA", at positions 524 to 777 of the family's 1533-position model. The record is from RNAcentral.